GAGGAAUAUUGGUUAAUGGGCGAGAGCCUGAACCAGCCAAGUCGCGUGAAGGAUGACUGCCCUAUGGGUUGUAAACUUCUUUUUUAGGGGAAUAAAGUGAGUCACGUGUGACUUUUUGUAUGUACCCUACGAAUAAGCAUCGGCUAACUCCGUGCCAGCAGCCGCGGUAAUACGGAGGAUGCGAGCGUUAUCCGGAUUUAUUGGGUUUAAAGGGUGCGUAGGCCGACUUUUAAGUCAGCGGUGAAAUUUUCCGGCUCAACCGGGACAUUGCCGUUGAAACUGAUAGUCUUGAGUGUAAAUGAGGUAGGCGGAAUGUGUGGUGUAGCGGUGAAAUGCUUAGAUAUCACACAGAACUCCAAUUGCGAAGGCAGCUUACUGGCAUACAACUGACGCUGAGGCACGAAAGUGUGGGUAUCAAAC
Molecule: ribosomal RNA, 420 nt
Filed under: uncultured bacterium
Lineage: Bacteria
Description: bacterial SSU rRNA
Rfam family: Bacterial small subunit ribosomal RNA
Source: RNAcentral